RNAcentral lists this ribosomal RNA (352 nucleotides) under Hoperius planatus. RNAcentral describes it as "partial 12S ribosomal RNA". Lineage: Eukaryota; Metazoa; Arthropoda; Insecta; Coleoptera; Dytiscidae. The record is from RNAcentral.
UUUAAAUGUAAAUUAUUAUACUAAAGUAUUAAUAGUUAAGUUCUUUAAAUUUAAAGAUUUUGGCGGUAUUUUAGUCUAUUCAGAGGAACCUGUUCUGUAAUUGAUAAUCCACGAUUAAUUAAACUUAAUUUAAUAAUUUGUAUAUCGUCGUUUAUAAAUAAUUUUAAAAGAAUUAAAAUUUUUAAGAUUUUAAAUUAAAAAAUAUAUCAGAUCAAGGUGCAGUUUAUAAUUAAGAAGAAAUGGGUUACAAUAAAUUUAUUUAUAUGGAUAAGUAAAUGAAAUUUUAUUUUGAAAGAGGAUUUGAUAGUAAUAAAAUUAAAUUUAAUUUUAUGAUUUUAGCUCUAAAAUAUGU